GAUGAACGCUAGCGGGAGGCUUAACACAUGCAAGGUCGAGGGGGUAAAUGGUAGCAAUACUAUGAGACCGGCGGACGGGUGCGUAACGCGUAUGCAACAUAACCUUUAGCAGGGGGAUAGCCCGUGGAAACGCGGAUUAAUAUUCCAUAGUCCAGCAGUAUCGCAUGGUACCACUGGUAAAGAUUAAUCGGCUAAAGAUUGGCAUGCGUCUGAUUAGUUAGUUGGUAGGGUAACGGCCUACCAAGGCGACGAUCAGUAGGGGUUCUGAGAGGAUUACCCCCCACACUGGUACUGAGACACGGUCCAGACUCCUACGGGAGGCAGCAGGUGGGGAAUAUUGGACAAUGGGGGAAACCCUGAUCCAGCCAUGCCGCGUGUGUGAAGAAGGUCUUAGGAUUGUAAAGCACUUUAAGUUGGGAGGAAGAGCAGUUAACUAAUAUUUGACUGUUUUGACGUUACCGACAGAAUAAGCACCGGCUAACUUCGUG
Molecule: ribosomal RNA, 488 nt
Filed under: uncultured bacterium
Lineage: Bacteria
Description: bacterial SSU rRNA
Rfam family: Bacterial small subunit ribosomal RNA
Source: RNAcentral